AGCAAACAGCAGCUGUCCUUUUCGUUCGAACAGUGUUCCUCAAUGGGCAUGUCAAGAUGGUUCAGUAGUAUGCUUUUAAUUUGCAGGUAUCUGAAAAUAAGUCAUAGGUUAUAUGUUCGUUAUAGGAAUUGGGAAAUUGUAGUGAUUCCAGCUUGUUCCCAAGAGGUCACCAUGAGCCAGCGGGAAACUGUGAGCAGAGUUUUCAACGGGGCUAAUCCUUGAAAUUUAAGAGAGUUAAGGAGUAG
Pelobates cultripes (western spadefoot toad) is the source of this 245-nucleotide non-coding RNA. NCBI's taxonomy places the organism in Eukaryota, Metazoa, Chordata, Amphibia, Anura, Pelobatidae. The record is from the annotation of a GenBank genome assembly.